This is a long non-coding RNA of Tupaia belangeri chinensis (Chinese tree shrew), 743 nucleotides long. RefSeq lists it as uncharacterized. Lineage: Eukaryota; Metazoa; Chordata; Mammalia; Scandentia; Tupaiidae. The record is from RefSeq and is a predicted model, not a curated record. The transcript is spliced from 3 exons.
CCUGACCAUUCUAUUCUGUGUCUGAUGAGACAAGAAAAUUAAGAGGUGAAGAGGUUAAGUAACUUGCCAAAGGGCAACGCAGCUAGAAAGCUGAAGAAAGAACAUGCACAUAGGUCUGAGAAACCUCAUCGAUCAAAAUCAGACAUUUGCCGCUUCAAAUGGCUCUGGAGAAAAACCCCUAACCAACAUGUAAAUAGCAGAAACCACAGCAAAGAGAGCGAGAGAGAGAAGAGUGACCAACCCAGCCUCAGUCAGCCUUGGAUGAAGGGCACAUGUGUGCCCUGUGUGUUAAAGAUCUCCAGCUCUAACCUGAAGCCGUCCAAUGUGGGUCAGCCUCCCAGAGUAAGACGUCUUACUGCUGCACCACCAUCCAGGCCCCUUCACCUUAUGUAAAUGUCUCAACAACCGUACGAAGAACAACUACUAUUGCCACUGGUUUAGGAGUAAAAAAGGGAGCCACCGGAUUAACUAACCUAUAAGGAAGGGUAACUUCCCUCUACCAAGGGUGCUGGGAUUCAAAACCAAGUGGACUUAAUCCAGUGUUUACCCUCGUGCCUGUUACCCCGGGGCUCUCCACCUAAAGUAUGUGUGCAUCGGAAUCACCUAGAAGGCUGCCGUCCCAGGAACUGUGCAGUGAGCUGACCCAGGGUCGUGGCGGCACAGAUAAAGAUGGCGGUACAACUGAGAGUUCGCACCUGAGCACAGCAGUCUAUCAGAAUCACAGAGACAACCAUGAAUUUAAA